GAGGAAUCUGAUGCUGCGAUGCCGCGUGAGUGAAGAAGGCCUUUGGGUUGUAAAGCUCUUUUGUAGGGGAAGAUAAUGACUGUACCCUAAGAAUAAGGUCCGGCUAACUUCGUGCCAGCAGCCGCGGUAAUACGAAGGGACCUAGCGUAGUUCGGAAUUACUGGGCGUAAAGCGCGCGUAGGCCGUUGAGUUAGUUAAUUGUGAAAUCCCAAAGCUUAACUUUGGAACUGCAAUUAAAACUGCUCGACUAGAGUUUGAUAGAGGAAAGCGGAAUACAUAGUGUAGAGGUGAAAUUCGUAGAUAUUAUGUAGAACACUAGUUGCGAAAGCGGCUUUCUGGGUCAAUACUGACGCUGAGGCGCGAAAGUAUGGGUAGCAAAGAGGAUUAGAUACCCUCGUAGUCCAUACCAUAAACGAUGAUUGCUAGAUGUUGGAAAUUUAUUUUCAGUAUCGCAGCUAACGCAUUAAGCAAUCCGCCUGGGGAGUACGACCGCAAGGUUAAAACUCAAAUGAAUUGACGGGGACCCGCACAAGCGGUGGAGCAUGUGGUUUAAUUCGAAGAUACGCGCAGAACCUUACCAACCCUUGACAUGUCUGUCGCGAGUUUAGGAAACUAGACUUUUCGGUUCGGCCGGACAGAACACAGGUG
Molecule: ribosomal RNA, 648 nt
Filed under: uncultured bacterium
Lineage: Bacteria
Description: bacterial SSU rRNA
Rfam family: Bacterial small subunit ribosomal RNA
Source: RNAcentral